RNAcentral lists this long non-coding RNA (354 nucleotides) under Chinchilla lanigera (long-tailed chinchilla). RNAcentral describes it as "lncRNA (ENSCLAG00000024677.1)". Lineage: Eukaryota; Metazoa; Chordata; Mammalia; Rodentia; Chinchillidae. The record is from RNAcentral.
AGCUGUCCCCUUCAGAUGGGACUCACGUUUUCCGGUCUACCUGGUCCCCUCCAACCUCGGUGGCUUCUCCCUUGGCCUGUGGUACAUGCUCUUGUCCUCCCGCUUUGUGCUCUAAUGUUCUGAGGGUCUCAGUGGAGCUUUGGGAAACGCCCAGAAGGCAGUGUAAAAGAAUCCUUCAGCUGUCCACCCACUUCCCAACAGAGGCCGGCCGGGUGGGGAGACCUGGGUGGAGGGCCUGCUCCUCCAAAUAAGAGAGGAAAAACUCGUGACUCAGGGAAAGGCAGAAGUUGAGUCAGCCAAGCCACAAGCUAUGGAAAAAAUGAAGUUUCCCUGAGGCUUUUUUCUGCUCCCUGG